UAAAUUCAUUUUUUUUCUUUUCUUUGUAAUUGCACAAAUGGCCAGCAGAGGCACUAGCCGUCGAAAACCUUUUCCCAUCAGCCAGUGUGACAUCCGUUAUAAAAACGCUCCGCACACUCUGCUAGUCCUCACUCCUCGGCUGUCCACUUGGCCUUUCGACUGGAUGGCUGUACAAAUGAAAGUGGACAUUAAAUGGUCUCAGGUGGUCCAGAGACAUGAAGGGACUGGAGCGGAAAAAGGAGUGCUUACAUUGGAAGAAUUAACUUUUCGGUGACAUCAGAACAGGUCCCUAUUCUUGGAUCUAGUGAAUGUUCUUAGAUCAGCUAC
Long non-coding RNA from Etheostoma cragini (Arkansas darter), 327 nucleotides. RefSeq lists it as uncharacterized. The record is from RefSeq and is a predicted model, not a curated record. The transcript is spliced from 5 exons. Lineage: Eukaryota; Metazoa; Chordata; Actinopteri; Perciformes; Percidae.